GCCAGCGUUUCCGAGCAGUAAGGAGGCAGCCUGCAGAGCUGUUUAUCGUGGGUGCAAUUCCCACCGCUGGCU
This 72-nucleotide transfer RNA is filed under the name Promethearchaeota archaeon. Its description in RNAcentral is "Candidatus Lokiarchaeota archaeon tRNA-Cys". It matches the Rfam family "tRNA". Rfam says of the family: Transfer RNA (tRNA) molecules are approximately 80 nucleotides in length. Their secondary structure includes four short double-helical elements and three loops (D, anti-codon, and T loops). The record is from RNAcentral. Lineage: Archaea; Promethearchaeati; Promethearchaeota.